This 85-nucleotide transfer RNA is filed under the name Escherichia coli. RNAcentral's name for it is "tRNA-Leu". It matches the Rfam family "tRNA". From Rfam's summary of the family: Transfer RNA (tRNA) molecules are approximately 80 nucleotides in length. Their secondary structure includes four short double-helical elements and three loops (D, anti-codon, and T loops). RNAcentral also lists the same sequence under 1 other name. Lineage: Bacteria; Pseudomonadati; Pseudomonadota; Gammaproteobacteria; Enterobacterales; Enterobacteriaceae. The record is from RNAcentral.
GCGGGAGUGGCGAAAUUGGUAGACGCACCAGAUUUAGGUUCUGGCGCCGCAAGGUGUGCGAGUUCAAGCCUCGCCUCCCGCACCA